UAUAAGUGUGUGUGUGUGUGUGUGUGUGUGUGUGUGUAUGCCCUUGUUUUUACAGGAGAAUCACAUCCUUCACACCAUCCAUCUGUCCAACGUACACAGAGCAUGUCAUGGGUCCUGUCUCCCAAAAGUACUGUGCUAAGGACUGCAUGUGCAUUACCCAGCUGAAUACUUCUAAUAACCUUAUGAGAGAGAUAACAGCAUCCCCAUUAUAUAGACAAAGAAGGAAAAACUUUAAAA
Molecule: long non-coding RNA, 237 nt
Filed under: Mustela putorius furo (domestic ferret)
Lineage: Eukaryota; Metazoa; Chordata; Mammalia; Carnivora; Mustelidae
Description: lncRNA (ENSMPUG00000025355.1)
Source: RNAcentral